Non-coding RNA from Oryctolagus cuniculus (rabbit), 519 nucleotides. Lineage: Eukaryota; Metazoa; Chordata; Mammalia; Lagomorpha; Leporidae. The record is from RefSeq and is a predicted model, not a curated record.
CCAGAAUUCACUCUUACACCUUAUGCUAUGCUGCCAGUUAAAAAAUUACUUAGCUUGAAAGAUCCCUUGAGAGCCACCUAAGCCGUUCUUAUGUAUUUAACUGGAUCUUACAAAGCAGAUCUCAAGAGAAAAUAGAUAUAAGAACACUGGAGACUUAACUAUCAACAGAGAUAACAGUGAUGAAAAAUACACAUAAAACAGAGAAACGUGAGAUUUGGGUACCAGUAUAUGAAAAUUGUUAACUCACCUGGGGGAAAAAAGCUUUGGAAGUCCAUGAAAAUACGUCCAAAUCCCUGACUCCUUGGCUAGCAUUAAAGAUAUUCUGAGCGACAAAGUUUAAGAAAGAGAAAUAUCAACAAAGAAAGGGAACAGGAUAUCAACUGCAGAAAGAUGCGUUCACAGUACAACAUUUUUCUGUGUUCUAGCACCAAGAGAGAAAUGUUAUUUUACUAAAGGGAAACUGAAGCCACCUGAGUAAACCAUACAUCAAGGAAAUUCUGUUAAAUAAACUUUUUUGGU